Molecule: ribosomal RNA, 326 nt
Filed under: uncultured bacterium
Lineage: Bacteria
Description: bacterial SSU rRNA
Rfam family: Bacterial small subunit ribosomal RNA
Source: RNAcentral
GAUGAACGCUGGCGGCGUGCCUAACACAUGCAAGUCGAACGAAGCAUUUAAGAUGGAUUCCUUCGGGAUGAAGCCUUUUAUGACUGAGUGGCGGACGGGUGAGUAACGCGUGGGCAACCUGCCUUACACAGGGGGACAACAGCCGGAAACGGCUGCUAAUACCGCAUAAGCGCACAGUUUCGCAUGGAACAGUGUGAAAAACUCCGGUGGUGUAAGAUGGGCCCGCGUCUGAUUAGCUUGUUGGCGGGGUAACGGCCCACCAAGGCGACGAUCAGUAGCCGACCUGAGAGGGUGACCGGCCACAUUGGGACUGAGACACGGCCCAA